GUCUACAGCCAUACCACCUUGCACACACCCAAUCUCAUCUGAUCUCAGAAGCUAAGCCAGGUCGGGCCUGGUUAGUACUUGGGUGGGAGACUAUUAAUUUACUUAUUGGCUGUGCU
RNAcentral lists this ribosomal RNA (116 nucleotides) under Octodon degus (degu). The record is from RNAcentral. Lineage: Eukaryota; Metazoa; Chordata; Mammalia; Rodentia; Octodontidae.